AGAUUAAGUUAUUAAGGGCGCACGGUGGAUGCCUUGGCACUAGAAGCCGACGAAGGACGUUACUAACGACGAUAUGCUUUGGGGAGCUGUAAGUAAGCUUUGAUCCAGAGAUUUCCGAAUGGGGAAACCCAGCACGAGUUAUGUCGUGUUAUCUGCAUGUGAAUACAUAGCAUGCAAGAAGGCAGACCCGGAGAACUGAAACAUCUUAGUACCCGGAGGAAGAGAAAGAAAAAUCGAUUCCCUGAGUAGCGGCGAGCGAAACGGGAAGAGCCCAAACCAAUAAGCUUGCUUAUUGGGGUUGUAGGACACUCUGUACGGAGUUACAAAAGAAUUUGUUAGACGAAUAACCUGGAAAGGUUAAUCAGAGAAGGUAAUAAUCCUGUAGUCGAAAACGAAUUCUCUCUUGAGUGGAUCCUGAGUACGACGGAGCACGUGAAAUUCCGUCGGAAUCUGGGAGGACCAUCUCCUAAGGCUAAAUACUCUAGUGACCGAUAGUGAACCAGUACCGUGAGGAAAGGUGAAAAGUACCCGGAAGGGGAGUGAAGAGAACUUGAAACCGUGUGCUUACAAGUAGUCAGAGCCGUUAAUGGGUGAUGGCGUGCCUUUUGUAGAAUGAACCGGCGAGUUACAUCUGAUGCAAGGUUACAGAAAUGUGAGCCGUGAAGCGAAAGGAGUCUGAAUAGGGGCGAAUGAGUAUUUGGUCGUAGACCCGAAACCAGGUGAUCUACCCUUGGUCAGGUUGAAA
Molecule: ribosomal RNA, 745 nt
Filed under: Staphylococcus pseudintermedius
Lineage: Bacteria; Bacillati; Bacillota; Bacilli; Caryophanales; Staphylococcaceae
Description: partial 23S ribosomal RNA
Rfam family: Bacterial large subunit ribosomal RNA
Source: RNAcentral